Molecule: ribosomal RNA, 284 nt
Filed under: uncultured soil bacterium
Lineage: Bacteria
Description: partial 16S ribosomal RNA
Rfam family: Bacterial small subunit ribosomal RNA
Source: RNAcentral
AGAAUCAACGCUGGCGGCGUGCCUAACACAUGCAAGUCGAACGCGGUUACCCCCUGUUUCGCAAGAAACGGGGUGUGACUGAGUGGCGAACGGGUGAGUAACACGUGGGUGAUCUACCUUUGAGUGGGGGAUAACGUUCCGAAAGGAACGCUAAUACCGCAUGACGUUCUGGGUUUGAAGACCUGGAAACCAAAGUCGGGGACCGCAAGGCCUGACGCUUGGAGAGGAGCCCGCGCCUGAUUAGCUAGUUGGUGGGGUAAUGGCUCACCAAGGCGACGAUCAGU